This 69-nucleotide transfer RNA is filed under the name Dipodomys ordii (Ord's kangaroo rat). It matches the Rfam family "tRNA". From Rfam's summary of the family: Transfer RNA (tRNA) molecules are approximately 80 nucleotides in length. The record is from Rfam by way of RNAcentral. Lineage: Eukaryota; Metazoa; Chordata; Mammalia; Rodentia; Heteromyidae.
GGAAAUGUGGCUUAGUGGAGAGUGCUUGCCUGCCAUGCAUGAAGCCCAGGGUUCGAUUCCUCAGUACCA